GCGGGGGCAACCCUGGCGGCGAGCGGCGGACGGGUGAGUAAUACAUCGGAACGUGUCCUUUCGUGGGGGAUAACCAGUCGAAAGACUGGCUAAUACCGCAUGAGAUCUCACGAUGAAAGCGGGGGACCGCAAGGCCUCGCGCGAUUGGAGCGGCCGAUGUCGGAUUAGCUAGUUGGCGGGGUAAGAGCCCACCAAGGCGACGAUCCGUAGCUGGUUUGAGAGAACGACCAGCCACACUGGACUGAGACACGGCCCAGACUCCUACGGGAGGCAGCAGUGGGGAAUUUUGGACAAUGGGCGCAAGCCUGAUCCAGCCAUGCCGCGUGUGUGAAGAAGGCCUUCGGGUUGUAAAGCACUUUCGGCCGGAACGAAAUCGCCUUUGUUAAUAGCGAAGGUGGAUGACGGUACCGGAAGAAGAAGCACCGGCUAACUACGUGCCAGCAGCCGCGGUAAUACGUAGGGUGCGAGCGUUAAUCGGAAUUACUGGGCGUAAAGCGUGCGCAGGCGGUUCGCCAAGUCUGAUGUGAAAGCCCCGGGCUCAACCUGGGAAUGGCAUUGGAAACUGGCGGGCUGGAGUGUGGCAGAGGGGGGUGGAAUUCCGCGUGUAGCAGUGAAAUGCGUAGAGAUGCGGAGGAACACCGAUGGCGAAGGCAGCCCCCUGGGCUGACACUGACGCUCAGGCACGAAAGCGUGGGGAGCAAACAGGAUUAGAUACCCUGGUAGUCCACGCCCUAAACGAUGUCAACUAGGUGUUGGGGGAGCAAUUUCUCAGUACCGUAGCUAAC
Molecule: ribosomal RNA, 785 nt
Filed under: uncultured beta proteobacterium
Lineage: Bacteria; Pseudomonadati; Pseudomonadota; Betaproteobacteria
Description: bacterial SSU rRNA
Rfam family: Bacterial small subunit ribosomal RNA
Source: RNAcentral